AAAGAUAACACAAGAUUUAAUUAUGUAUAUUUCACAGUAAAACUAUAAACAGACACAUUUUUUUUUCUUUCCUUCAUAUGCUUUUUAUUGAGGAGAAUCUUCUAUUUUCAUUUAUUGUCUUUAGACAAUGCACAUUCUCCACGCGCGUUUCUUUGAAAUUUAUUAGAAAAAGGAUCGUUGAAGUAUUAUCCUGUAUAUUUUCAUAUGUGCAUCUAUUAUAUAUCUUAGAUAUGGAUAUUGGAGAAUUUGACUUUUCAGAAUCAUUAUCAUAUGUGUAUAGAUAUUAGAGAAGUCAAAUGUUCAAAAUCAUUAUCACAUGUGUCUUCCAUGUGUAUAGAAAUGUUGGUAGAAAUAAAUUCAUUCUUGGAGGGAGGGAAGAUAUAGCUCGUCGUUGAGGGUGAGAGGGUUUCUCCACAACUUUAUUUAAUUUUUAUGUCAAAGAUGCCGAAAUUUGUAUCAUUACAUUUCUAUCGCUUCGUUACCCCAAAAGCAAAAUCAAAAUAAGCACUCAAUCAAAAUCAUCCAUACUAAGUAAGCAUAUGUCCAACCAGAAGAAAUGUUACACAAACCUAACCAGUGCAUAAAUAAAAAUAUUCGGACAUAAUAGUGAAAAAAGCAAUGUUAUUUGAAUACAAUAUUAAACACAAAUACUUGUGGCCUCCACACAAUCUCUCUUUUCAUUAGAUUUCUUCCCUUUUUUUACUUUCUCCAUUUUUUUACUUUCCUUUUUUAGUAUUUUUUUUGUCUUCCUCUACAAAAAUAAAUACAUUUAUCUUUCCUUUCUUUCAUAAUUCUUCCUUUUUUUCUUUUAUUUACAUAUUUUAAUCAAAUUUAUGAUGAAGUAACUUGACUAACUUUAUCUCCUCACUUGCAAGGUAAUUUAGUACAUUGUUUUGCUUAGAUAUGAAUUUUCUUUUUUUGGAUUCAUACACGUUUUCUAGGUUCAUACCUCAUUUUUCUGCUUCUGGUUAAUAAUAUAAACAUUAUUGGUUAAUGAAGUACAAUAGGUGGUUAAUAACUUAUUUUUGUUUAAAAAUUAGGGUUGUGAACUAUUAAUCAAUUAUGUCAAUUAUUUUUGUCUAAAUAUUAAGUUUCAUCACUUUUAAUCAAUUAUGUUAAUCAGAUUUGAAUUGUUAAGUUUCAUAUUAUGUGAUUAGUAGUGUUUUAAUUCUGAGCCUUUCUGAUUUUUUAUUUCUGGUUAAUAGUGUAAAUAUUAUUGGUUAGUGAAGUACAAUAGGUGGUUAAUAAUCAGACUGAAUUAUUUUUUGUAGUUUUUGUGUGACAUUUGCACUAUCAAUUGAAACUUCAUGGAUUGUGGUAUUAUGGAAGAUAAAGAUAUCAGAGUUGACAUUUGUACUAUCAAUUAAACUUCAUGGUUAAUGUUCUGAACAACUUGGUUAAUGAAUUUGAAAUGAAAACUUGACAUUCUAAUCAAACAAGAUAUAAAUCUCGUUAAUGACUUAAAACAAUAUGGUUAAUUCUUGAUCAUUCUCCUUCUCCUUCUCGUUCUCCUUAAAUCUUUUGAGAGUAAACUAAUUGGUGUAUGCAGGUAAGAGUAGACUAUGUUUAACCAUAACCAUAUGAUGUGAUACAUUAAGUCAUCGUAACAAUUGUGAUAUAUCAAAUGCUUUUUUUUUUCCAAUGCACUUUUGGAAAAUGACUUUUUCACAUGUUUGUUGUACCACUAACCUAAUCUUUCUUCCUUAUCUUUUUAAUUUCAUCAGCUUCCUUUUUAGCAAUAUCAAAAUUAUUAAAUUUUAACAAACAAUAAGUGUUAACUUUAACUAAGUGAAUCAUAAAUAAAAUAAAAUAAAUAUAUUCAAUUAUAUAUUGAAGUUCAUAAUCUAUUGCUUUCACCCACGAGUGAUGAAUCUUUCUGCAACAUUUUCUAUUUUUAUCCUACAAAUUCCAAAUGCAUAUCUUAUUUACAUGAUAGACUAAAUGCAAUAAAUAUAAUAGAUAUUUUAUUCUUAUUUACAUUUAUAAUAUUAGAUAUGUCUAUAAAAUAAAUUACUCACUAACUACAAAUAUUUAAAUCAUAUUUAAAACAAAUUGUUAGAAUAACAAUUUCUCUCUCUUUUUUCAUCAAACAUGGUUUUACAAACAAAGAAAAAAACAAUGCUAAUGUUUUGCAAGGAAAAAAUAGUAUGGAUUUAAGCAUUUAUAAUCUACAUAACAUUCAAAUUGCGUCAACAAUAAUAAUAUAAUUCAGAUAUUAUUGAAGAUAAAAUUGUCCAAAACAUAUUAAUUGAUUGAAUAGAAAUAAAAAAACAAUUAAUCCACUAUCUCAGCCACAAAUUUAAUUUAAAACUCGCUCUUGGGCACUCGCUCGACGACAGUAAUAUAGGCAAUUUCAAUUGCUUCUUUUGUUGGGUCAAAUUUCCAUGACAUAAAACCUGUAUAACCGCAAGAAGUUAAAAUUCAAAGGAAUAUAAAGCUGACAUAACAAUUCAAAGGAAUCUAUUGAUUUAGCCAUAUCCAUCAUGGAAAAUAGAUUUACAAAUCAAAACUAUAAAAUUUAUCAUUUUGAAGUGUAUACAAUAGAUCACAUAGUUUUGUAUUUAUAACCAACAAAUUGGGUGUUAGUGUUACUCUUGAUGAGGUAAAGAAGAAUGAAAACCAAAUUGUUUUUUUCAGUUGUUUUUAAAAGGAUAAAUUUUGAUUGAUCGCUGAGUAAAAGCAUAUUGAAUGCUGUCGCUAGCCAAAACAUGUUGUAACUGAGCUCUAAUUUAACUUUCAUCACCUAAAACUUAGUUCUAGGUUUAAAACAACCGUCGUCUCCUAGAUUCCACCAAUAGCACAAUGGGUCAAAAGUAACUAACUAUAUGGUUAGAUGUGUGAGGUUGAGCUCAUGGUAUAUAUUUUAUAUUCUUGUCUUUAUUCUAGUUGGAAGGAGAUGGUGAUGGUUAGCGAUUUACUAGAAAGUGAGUAGCUAGUGAUGUACAAUGACGGCUUUGAAGGACGUAAGAAUAAUAUAAAAUUUAUAAUUUUUGAGUCUACCAUCGCAAACCUAAGAUUUAACCGUAUUGCUAAUUCUAGUCCUAAUUAGCACCUAACCUAAGAUUUGUACAACUAUAAUCAAGGUCUGUUUUAUUUUUCUUCAUCACGUUGUUGGCAAUAACCAUUAUACGCAUGCAGUUCCACAUGCUCCUAAACAAUAUGACAUAUUAGAUACAGUUUUAGCGGAGAUAAAUAUUAAACAUUUUAUUUAAAUAUGUGAGCGGUCCCUAAUAAAUUUCUUUAGAUCAUCAAAUUAUUUAGAUAAAGUUGUUUUUCAAUUAAAUUAGGGGAUUAAAAUUGUAAUUAAAAAAGUAGAGAGAUUAAAAUUAAGAAUCGAUUAAAAUAUGGGAUUAAAAUUGCAAAAUUAUAAAUAUAGGGACAAAAUAUUACAAAUUAGUUAAAAUAAUAAGACUAAAAUUGCGAAAUAAAUAAUAGAGAAUUAAAAUUACAAAUCAAUUAAAAUAAGAAAUUAAAACUGUAUCUAAGCUUUAUUAUUAUUAUUAUUAUUAUUAUUAUUAUUAUUAUUAUUAUUAUUAUUUAAUUUAGAUUUUUUAUUUGGAAAAAUAGAAAUGUAAUUAAUUAUUGGCAGUAUUUUUUGUUUGAUUAAUACUCCGUGCUAAUAGAUUCCAACAAAUGAUUAAGAAAGAGAGACUAGUAAAACAGAAUAUUAUAUUCGCUCUCUUUUUAAUUACUUCAUUUUUUUCAUUUCAUCUAAGUUUAUUCUUGUACAUUUUCACACUCUCAUUCUUAUUUUUGGUGUUCUGUUCUUUCCAUCUAGAGACGACGAUCUAUGACAUCAUUUGCAACUCGGGAUUAUCGACUCGUGAAACUCCAUCCACAGUGGUCUUGAAGCAUUCCUCAUGCAUGAUCCUCGAAUUUAUGGAAGGAUUGAAACUCUAUCCAUCGUUUUGAAGCAUUCCUCAUCCAUGAUCCUUAUGGAAGGACGCAUUGAAAUGGUAAACUAUUCUGUGUUUCAUCUUAACGAGAUGUAUACAUAUUUUGUUUAUUGCAAUAGUAACUCGCUCUAACUUUAUUUUUAUUAAAUUGCAACUUCAUUCCAUUUAAUCCAUAGUUAGAGAAUAGGUUAUCGAUAGUAAGAGCAUAGGGUGAAAAGCAUGUGUUUAAACAAUGUAUCAAACAUAAUUCAAUAUAUUGUAAAUGAACAAAGUAUGCGUUAAUAAAUAAAAUAAAGUUAUAAAAAAAUGGAAUGUAAUAUUAUUAUUAAUAACAAUUUUAUUUUCUAUUUAAAAAAAUAUAUAAAAAAUUAAGAGAAGUGUGAUAUAAGAAAAAAAAACUAGAAUUGAUCUUAUUUUUUGUUUAAGUGUUAUGUGUUUAUCGGUCAAUUUAUAAUUUUUAAAAAACAUAAUUAAAUGUUAUAAAAUUUUAUGUGAUUAUAAAAGAAUAAGUAUGUGUUAAUAAAUAAAAUAAAGUUAUAAAAGAAUGGAAUGUAAUAUUAUUAUUAAUAACAAUUUUAUUUUCUAUUUAAAAAAAAUAUAUAAAAAAUUAAGAGAAGUGUGAUAUAAGAAAAAAAAACUAGAAUUGAUCUUAUUUUUUGUUUAAGUGUUAUUUGUUUAUUGAUCAAUUUAUAAUUUUUAAAAAACAUAAUUAAAUGUUAUAAAAUUUUAUGUGAUUAUAAAAAUUCAAUUAUUUAAUAAAUAACAUAUAUGUAAUACAUAAGUUUAAAUUUAUAAUCACUUUAUGUUGCUAACAUAUAUAAUAUUAAUUAUCACAUGACAUAUAUGAUUAUAAGAGUCAUAAUUAAUACAUGAAUAAGGAAAGAGAAUGAAUUCUCAUGAUACAUGUUAAAUUUAAAUAAUUGUAAAAAUAAAAAAAAUUCAGUAUAUGUGUGCAAAUUUAGAUCUUGGAACAUAUACCUUUCUCUUGUCAUAUGUCGCAAGCAUCCAUUGUCUAUGUAUAUGUCUUACAUUUCAAUUUGGUUGCUGAUAACAUAUGCAACAUACACAAUUUUAUUAUUGGGUAUCUAAAAUUGGUUGGGUAAUGGUUUUAAUUUUGAAAGGUUUAUUGUCUUUCUAUGUUGUUAACAUAUGAUAAGAUAUUUUAUUGUAACCUUUCUUGGAACAGACAAUACACAUAUAAUCAGAAUAUGUUUGGGGGUAUGACGAAAAACUUGGUAAAACUAAAAAACAUUUUAAUGACAUCGGUGGAUUAUAAUGUUGAAAGUUUGACGACAAUAAAAUAAGUUUACAAUGCACGUCAAGCAUAUCGUUCAUCACUUAGAGGUAAUAGAACAUAAAUGCAACAUCUUUUGACAUUGAUGUAACACGACAAAUACAUCUAUCUAUAUAGAAAUGUAGAUGAUUCAGAUGAGUUGAGAGACAUAUUUUGGGCUCAUCCAGACGCUAUCACUCUUGUAAAUAAUUUUCACGUAGUAUUAAUUAUGGAUAACACAUACAAGACAUGUAGGUAUCAAAUGCCAUUACUUGAGAUUAUUGGUGUUACAUCUAUUGAAAUGACAUUUUGUGUGGGAUUUGCAUAUCUACAGUGUGAGCAUGCUGAUAACUUCGCGUGAACACUACAAAUGUUGAAAGAACAGAUUACAAGUGGUGAAGUUGAAGUCAUCGUUACUGAUAGAGACCUUGCUUAGAUGAACACAGUUGAAUAUGUUUUUCCAAAAGCAAUGAACUUAUUAUGCUUGUUUCAUAUAUGCAGGAAUGUCAAAGUCAG
Molecule: long non-coding RNA, 5685 nt
Filed under: Cicer arietinum (chickpea)
Lineage: Eukaryota; Viridiplantae; Streptophyta; Magnoliopsida; Fabales; Fabaceae
Description: long non-coding RNA (CARI_LNC002377)
Source: RNAcentral